RNAcentral lists this ribosomal RNA (253 nucleotides) under uncultured bacterium. Its description in RNAcentral is "partial 16S ribosomal RNA". It matches the Rfam family "Bacterial small subunit ribosomal RNA", at positions 524 to 776 of the family's 1533-position model. The record is from RNAcentral.
UACGUAGGCAGCGAGCGUUGUUCGGAGUUACUGGGCGUAAAGAGUGCGUAGGCGGUUUUCUAAGUUUGGUGUGAAAUCUCCCGGCUUAACUGGGAGGGUGCGCCGAAAACUGGAAGGCUUGAGUAUGGGAGAGGUAAGCGGAAUUCCUGGUGUAGCGGUGAAAUGCGUAGAUAUCGUUUGGAACGCCAAUGGUGAAAACAGGUUGCUGGGGUUGUGCUGACGCUGAGACACGAAAGCCAGGGGAGCGAACGGG